RNAcentral lists this ribosomal RNA (1678 nucleotides) under human gut metagenome. RNAcentral describes it as "bacterial LSU rRNA". It matches the Rfam family "Bacterial large subunit ribosomal RNA", at positions 831 to 2524 of the family's 2925-position model. The record is from RNAcentral.
AAUCGAACCCGGAGAUAGCUGGUUCUCCUCGAAAUAGCUUUAGGGCUAGCCUCAUGGAUCAUUGAUGGGGGUAGAGCACUGAAUGUGCGCGGGGGCCACAAAGCCUACCAAACGCUAUCAAACUUCGAAUACCAUACAAUGCAGACCAUGGGAGUCAGUCCGCGAGAGAUAAGUUCCGCGGGCAAAAGGGGAACACCCCAGAUCAACCGCUAAGGUCCCCAAGUUCACGUUAAGUGGAGAAGGAUGUGGAAUUGCACAGACAACCAGGAUGUUGGCUCAGAAGCAGCCACACAUUUAAAGAGUGCGUAAUAGCUCACUGGUCGAGUGAUUGUGCGCCGAAGAUGUCCGGGGCUAAACGUGACACCGAAGCGAUGGGUGCAUCUGAAGAAGAUGCGCGGUAGAGGAGCAAUGUGCAGAGGCAGAAGCCGUAUCGAGAGGCACGGUGGACACUGCACAAGAGAGAAUGCCGGUAUGAGUAGCGAGAGGCAUGCGAGAAACAUGCCCGUCGAAAGCCCAAGGUUUCCUGGGGAAGGUUCAUCCGCCCAGGGUAAGUCGGGGCCUAAGCCGAGGACGGAAGUCGUAGGCGAUGGACAGCAGGUGUAGAUUCCUGCACUACCGAUGGAAUGAAGCAGUGACACAGAAGGAUAACUCGAGCAGGGUGAUGGUCAACCCUGUGCAAGCAUCAAGGUUGGGUUGUAGUGAAGUACGCAAUCCUAUAAGCUGAGAUGUGAUGCGGACCGAAAUUUCAGUAGGGAAGCGAGUGAGUUCACGCUGGCGAGAAAAGCUGCUAGUACAUCCAAAGGUACCCGUACCGGAAACCGACGCAGGUGGGCGAGGAGAGAAUCCUGAGACGAACGGGAGAACCCUUGUUAAGGAACUCGGCAAAAUGACCCCGUAACUUCGGGAUAAGGGGUGCCUGCGAGAGCAGGCCGCAGAGAAUAGUCACAAGCGACUGUUUAGCAAAAACACAGGUAUCUGCGAAAGCGAGAGCUGACGUAUAGGUGCUGACACCUGCCCGGUGCUGGAAGGUUAAGGGAACAUGUUAGAGCAAUCGAAGCAUCGAACCGAAGCCCCAGUAAACGGCGGCCGUAACUAUAACGGUCCUAAGGUAGCGAAAUUCCUUGUCGGGUAAGUUCCGACCCGCACGAAUGGUGUAACGACUUGUGAGCUGUCUCAACAGGGGGCCCGGUGAAAUUGAAGUAUGGGUGAAGAUGCCCAUUACCCGCGACUGGACGGAAAGACCCCGUAGAGCUUUACUGCAGCCUGAUAUUGAGUUUCGGUAACUGAUGCACAGGAUAGGUGGGAGUCUGAGAGACAUGGGUUUCGGCUCAUGUGGAGACGAUGUUGGGAUACCACUCUUCGGUUACUGAAAUUCUAACAUAGCUCUGUGAAACCAGAGGAUGGACAGUGUCAGGUGGACAGUUUGACUGGGGCGGUCGCCUCCGAAAGAGUAACGGAGGCGCCCAAAGGUACCCUCAGAAUGGAUGGAAACCAUUCGAAGAGCGCAAAGGCAGAAGGGUGCCUGACUGCGAGAGUGACAACUCGAGCAGAGACGAAAGUCGGGCUUAGUGAUCCGGCGGUAUUGAGUGGAAAAGCCGUCGCUUAACGGAUAAAAGCUACCUCGGGGAUAACAGGCUGAUCUCCCCCAAGAGUCCACAUCGACGGGGAGGUUUGGCAC